GAAGGCAAAUGAUGCUACACAAAAAUCUUAUACUACACACUGAAUAUUUUGGUGUUGAAAACAAUUCUCAUUUACUGUCUGAUGCUUUG
Molecule: small nucleolar RNA, 89 nt
Organism: Cynara cardunculus var. scolymus (artichoke)
Lineage: Eukaryota; Viridiplantae; Streptophyta; Magnoliopsida; Asterales; Asteraceae
Product: small nucleolar RNA R16
Exons: 1
Source: RefSeq, a predicted model, not a curated record